CUACUUUACUCUUGUGCUUUAGGAGGUUUUUUUUAAUCUUCCCGUACCACAUUUCUGAGUCAGAUUACUGAAUAUCAAAACACCUUUCAUCGGAAGUGUCUUGAAAUAGGUUGCUAUUCAGUAUUUUGACUCAGAAAGGUGUCGUGGGAAUAUCGGAAAUGUUUUGGUAUUUUCUGAGUGACAGUAG
This 187-nucleotide microRNA precursor is filed under the name Prunus persica (peach). RNAcentral describes it as "miR8126 stem-loop (ppe-MIR8126)". The record is from miRBase by way of RNAcentral. Lineage: Eukaryota; Viridiplantae; Streptophyta; Magnoliopsida; Rosales; Rosaceae.